RNAcentral lists this ribosomal RNA (451 nucleotides) under uncultured bacterium. RNAcentral's name for it is "partial 16S ribosomal RNA". It matches the Rfam family "Bacterial small subunit ribosomal RNA", at positions 354 to 796 of the family's 1533-position model. The record is from RNAcentral.
GUGGGGAAUAUUGGACAAUGGGCGGAAGCCUGAUCCAGCCAUGCCGCGUGUGUGAAGAAGGCCUUUUGGUUGUAAAGCACUUUAAGCGAGGAGGAGGCUCCUUUAGUUAAUACCUAAAGUGAGUGGACGUUACUCGCAGAAUAAGCACCGGCUAACUCUGUGCCAGCAGCCGCGGUAAUACAGAGGGUGCGAGCGUUAAUCGGAUUUACUGGGCGUAAAGCGUGCGUAGGCGGCUUUUUAAGUCGGAUGUGAAAUCCCUGAGCUUAACUUAGGAAUUGCAUUCGAUACUGGAAAGCUAGAGUAUGGGAGAGGAUGGUAGAAUUCCAGGUGUAGCGGUGAAAUGCGUAGAGAUCUGGAGGAAUACCGAUGGCGAAGGCAGCCAUCUGGCCUAAUACUGACGCUGAGGUACGAAAGCAUGGGGAGCAAACAGGAUUAGAAACCCCGGUAGUCC